CUGUGCUAGUGAGGUGGCUCAGCA
This 24-nucleotide microRNA is filed under the name Mus musculus (house mouse). RNAcentral's name for it is "mmu-miR-5104". Lineage: Eukaryota; Metazoa; Chordata; Mammalia; Rodentia; Muridae. The record is from miRBase by way of RNAcentral.